Molecule: ribosomal RNA, 403 nt
Filed under: uncultured bacterium
Lineage: Bacteria
Description: partial 16S ribosomal RNA
Rfam family: Bacterial small subunit ribosomal RNA
Source: RNAcentral
AUUGAACGCUGGCGGCAGGCCUAACACAUGCAAGUCGAGCGAGCGGCGGACGGGUGAGUAAUGUAUGGGGACUGCCCGAUAGAGGGGGAUAACUACUGGCAACGAUGGAUAAUACCGCAUACUAUCGGAUAACCCAUAUGGGAUUAGCUAGUAGGUGGGGUAAAGGCUCACCUAGGCGACGAUCUCUAGCUGGUCUGGGAGGAUGAUCAGCCACACCGAGAAUGAGACACGGCCCAGACACCUAAGGAGGCAGCAGUAGGGAAUAUUGCACAAGUGGCGCAAGCCUGAUGAAGCCAGGCCGCGUGUAUGAAGAAGGCCUUAGGGUUGUAAAGUACUUUCAGCGGGGAGGCGUUACCGACAGAAUAAGCACCGGCUAACUUCGUGCCAGCAGCCGAGGUAAUUC